UUCCUGGAAUGUUCAGCCCGAAGCUUAAGUGGCGAAUCUUGUGGGUCAUGUUGAAUUGAGUUGACAUGUAUGGCUGAACAUCAUGCACUCAUAACAAGAGUCGACAGGAAGCCGGUUUAUUAGCGAAACAACUUGUUACAAGCUGUUCGCGAUAAAAUCGAGAGGCGGUACUCGUGUUAAUUUUGACAAGUGAAACACAUUACCGACGGCACCACUGAAAGUUCGCACGAGAAUAUCCGCUUCUUCGCGCACCUUCGGGUGCACAUCUAAUUGCCGCAAUAUUUGCAUGCUUGAUGGAAAAAA
Megachile rotundata (alfalfa leafcutting bee) is the source of this 303-nucleotide long non-coding RNA. The record is from RefSeq and is a predicted model, not a curated record. Lineage: Eukaryota; Metazoa; Arthropoda; Insecta; Hymenoptera; Megachilidae.